RNAcentral lists this ribosomal RNA (424 nucleotides) under Verrucomicrobiota bacterium. RNAcentral's name for it is "Verrucomicrobia bacterium partial 16S ribosomal RNA". It matches the Rfam family "Bacterial small subunit ribosomal RNA", at positions 355 to 776 of the family's 1533-position model. The record is from RNAcentral. Lineage: Bacteria; Pseudomonadati; Verrucomicrobiota.
UGAGGAAUAUUGGUCAAUGGGCGUGAGCCUGAACCAGCCAAGUAGCGUGCAGGAAGACGGCCCUAUGGGUUGUAAACUGCUUUUAUGCGGGGAUAAAGGAGUCCACGUGUGGAUUUUUGCAGGUACCGCAUGAAUAAGGACCGGCUAAUUCCGUGCCAGCAGCCGCGGUAAUACGGAAGGUCCGGGCGUUAUCCGGAUUUAUUGGGUUUAAAGGGAGCGUAGGCCGCGUUUUAAGCGUGUUGUGAAAUGUAGACGCCCAACGUCUGCCUCGCAGCGCGAACUGGGACGCUUGAGUACGCGCAACGUUGGCGGAAUUCGUCGUGUAGCGGUGAAAUGCUUAGAUAUGACGAGGAACUCCGAUUGCGAAGGCAGCUGACGGGAGCGGCACUGACGCUUAAGCUCGAAGGUGCGGGUAUCAAACAGG